RNAcentral lists this long non-coding RNA (317 nucleotides) under Elaeis guineensis (African oil palm). RNAcentral's name for it is "long non-coding RNA (EGUI_LNC012916)". The record is from RNAcentral. Lineage: Eukaryota; Viridiplantae; Streptophyta; Magnoliopsida; Arecales; Arecaceae.
UUCACUAUUCUCCAUGACUAACUUGAGCAUCAGAAGAUCUUUAUAAUAACUCUGAUAAGGGACUUAAUUUGCAAGUUCUCUCUCAUCCGAUGUGGGAUGAAGCUCUAGCCAUCACAGAUCUAUCUAUCACAAUUCCAAGUUGGCCUCUAAUAGUAACAAAUUGAUGCCAGAGGAAGGAUCACAGGCCUGCUCGAAAAAGAAGAAGAGUUUGCAGUCAUGAGAUCUUCUAGAGGAGGAUCAAAUGUCUCAUGAUGGUCCAAUGUAACAAUAUCUCAUCCAACCGAGGUGUAGCCCCAACCAGCCUAGGUACUACCCCA